This 497-nucleotide ribosomal RNA is filed under the name uncultured bacterium. RNAcentral's name for it is "partial 16S ribosomal RNA". It matches the Rfam family "Bacterial small subunit ribosomal RNA", at positions 28 to 507 of the family's 1533-position model. The record is from RNAcentral.
GAUGAACGCUGGCGGCGUGCCUAAUACAUGCAAGUCGAGCGAACGGACGAGAAGCUUGCUCCUCUGACGUUAGCGGCGGACGGGUGAGUAACACGUGGAUAACCUACCUAUAAGACUGGGAUAACUUCGGGAAACCGGAGCUAAUACCGGAUAAUAUAUUGAACCGCAUGGUUCAAUAGUGAAAGACGGUUUUGCUGUCACUUAUAGAUGGAUCCGCGCUGCAUUAGCUAGUUGGUAAGGUAACGGCUUACCAAGGCAACGAUGCGUAGCCGACCUGAGAGGGUGAUCGGCCACACUGGAACUGAGACACGGUCCAGACUCCUACGGGAGGCAGCAGUAGGGAAUCUUCCGCAAUGGGCGAAAGCCUGACGGAGCAACGCCGCGUGAGUGAUGAAGGUCUUCGGAUCGUAAAACUCUGUUAUUAGGGAAGAACAUAUGUGUAAGUAACUGUGCACGUCUUGACGGUACCUAAUCAGAAAGCCACGGCUAACUACGUG